Molecule: long non-coding RNA, 276 nt
Filed under: Lathyrus oleraceus (garden pea)
Lineage: Eukaryota; Viridiplantae; Streptophyta; Magnoliopsida; Fabales; Fabaceae
Description: Pisum sativum (pea) long non-coding RNA (PSAT_LNC026401)
Source: RNAcentral
CCUAUUGGAGGAGGAAGACGGAUGGGGAGUCAGUGAGUAAUCAAUUAAAACCUCAAGGCACUUGAUAGUCAAAGGAAUAAUAUCCUUCAAGCUGAGUAGGUUAUAUGGAGGAAAAAGAGUAGGACAAUUUGGCUUAAGCACGGUGAUAAAAAUACUAAAUUUUUUCAUGUGAAAGCAGACCAAAGAAGAAAAACAAAUGCUAUCAAUAAGUUGAAAGAUGAUAAUGGUUGUAGGUGGAGAGGAGAAAACCAUUAUGAAAGAAUCCUUGUGAAUUAC